This 414-nucleotide ribosomal RNA is filed under the name Coptotermes testaceus. RNAcentral describes it as "partial 16S ribosomal RNA". Lineage: Eukaryota; Metazoa; Arthropoda; Insecta; Blattodea; Rhinotermitidae. The record is from RNAcentral.
AAAACAUCUUUUCUUGUUAGUUUUUGAAGUAUGGCCUGCCCGCUGACUUGAGUGUUGAAGGGCCGCGGUAUUUUGACCGUGCAAAGGUAGCAUAAUCAUUAGUUCUUUAAUUGUGAUCUGGAAUGAAUGGCUUGACGAGGCACUGGCUGUCUUAGUGAUGGAUGUUUUAUUGAAUUUGGUCUUUGAGUUAAAAUUCUUAGAUGUUUUUAUGGGACGAGAAGACCCUAUAGAGUUUGACAUUUGGCUUAUUUAUUUAUGUUGUUUGUUUUGUUUUUGGUAAGUGGGCUUUUUGUUUUGUUGGGGUGAUGAGAGGAAUAUAGUUUAACUCCUCUUGGUUUUAGGUUAUAUUGAUUUAUAGUUGUUUGAUCCAUUUAUUUUGAUUGCAAGAUUAAAUUACCUUAGGGAUAACAGCGU